This 588-nucleotide ribosomal RNA is filed under the name Meyerozyma guilliermondii. RNAcentral describes it as "eukaryotic LSU rRNA". The stretch from base 176 to 329 matches the Rfam family "5.8S ribosomal RNA". Lineage: Eukaryota; Fungi; Ascomycota; Pichiomycetes; Serinales; Debaryomycetaceae. The record is from RNAcentral.
GUGCUUCGCUAUACUUUUGCCGCGCUUGUCUGCUCGGCGGAGAAACCUUACACACAGUGUCUUUUUGAUACAGAACUCUUGCUUUGGUUUGGCCUACAGAUAGGUUGGGCCAGAGGUUUAACAAAACACAAUUUAAUUAUUUUUACAGUUAGUCAAAUUUUGAAUUAAUCUUCAAAACUUUCAACAACGGAUCUCUUGGUUCUCGCAUCGAUGAAGAACGCAGCGAAAUGCGAUAAGUAAUAUGAAUUGCAGAUUUUCGUGAAUCAUCGAAUCUUUGAACGCACAUUGCGCCCUCUGGUAUUCCAGAGGGCAUGCCUGUUUGAGCGUCAUUUCUCUCUCAAACCCCCGGGUUUGGUAUUGAGUGAUACUCUUAGUCGGACUAGGCGUUUGCUUGAAAAGUAUUGGCAUGGGUAGUACUAGAUAGUGCUGUCGACCUCUCAAUGUAUUAGGUUUAUCCAACUCGUUGAAUGGUGUGGCGGGAUAUUUCUGGUAUUGUUGGCCCGGCCUUACAACAACCAAACAAGUUUGACCUCAAAUCAGGGUAGGAAUACCCGCUGAACUUAAGCAUAUCAAUAACCCGGAAGGAAG